GAAGCUGGGAUGAGGCACUCUUCAUGAUUGGAAGGAUGUCAAGAAGGAAGAACUGAUGUGUUCAAACAUGGGCUGGGAUUCCUCUCACCUCACCAAUCACGGCAAAAUGAGUUGGCUUUGAUUCCAGCUGGGAGACAGCAGAAGCUCACAGACAUGGACAAAUCCUUCUUCAGCCUCCUGGACACUGGACAUUCCAAUUCCUCCCUGACACUGGACAUUCCCAUUGCUCAGGGUUUGAAAUGCAGCACCCCGUUCAUUUAACCCUG
This is a non-coding RNA of Lonchura striata (white-rumped munia), 266 nucleotides long. NCBI's taxonomy places the organism in Eukaryota, Metazoa, Chordata, Aves, Passeriformes, Estrildidae. The record is from RefSeq and is a predicted model, not a curated record.